UUCACGAUUAGUUUAUAUUUUUUCGGAGUUAAAUCUGGACUUCACCGUACAACAUUCUAUUGUUACCGUAGCCUCGCAUCCGUCUUUUGCAAAUCAACCUUGCCACGUCACAUCACUGUACAAAGGACUGUCGGAGGAUGCAUUCUUAAUCUCAAUUUGUGGCUAACCACAGCUUAUUUACCAUUUUUGGAUUGGUGAUAGAAUAAAAGUCAGCACCUGAU
Molecule: long non-coding RNA, 221 nt
Organism: Mytilus californianus (California mussel)
Lineage: Eukaryota; Metazoa; Mollusca; Bivalvia; Mytilida; Mytilidae
Exons: 2
Source: RefSeq, a predicted model, not a curated record